GCAACGCGAAGAACCUACCUGGUCUUGACAUCCCGGAGACCCUUAGGAAACUAGGGGUGCUUCCAUCUGGAAGAAUCUGGAGACAGGUGCUGCAUGGCUGUCGUCAGCUCGUGUCGUGAGAUGUUGGGUUAAGUCCCGCAACGAGCGCAACCCUUGCCUUUAGUUGCCAGCAGUUCGGCUGGGCACUCUAAAGGGACUGCCGGUGUUAAACCGGAGGAAGGUGGGGAUGACGUCAAGUCCUCAUGGCCUUUAUGACCAGGGCUACACACGUACUACAAUGGCCGAUACAAAGGGCAGCGACACUGCGAGGUGAAGCCAAUCCCGUAAAAUCGGUCUCAGUCCGGAUUGGAGUCUGCAACUCGACUCCAUGAAGUUGGAAUCGCUAGUAAUCGUGGAUCAGCAUGCCACGGUGAAUACGUUCCCGGGCCUU
This 430-nucleotide ribosomal RNA is filed under the name uncultured Desulfobulbus sp. RNAcentral's name for it is "bacterial SSU rRNA". It matches the Rfam family "Bacterial small subunit ribosomal RNA", at positions 956 to 1382 of the family's 1533-position model. Lineage: Bacteria; Pseudomonadati; Thermodesulfobacteriota; Desulfobulbia; Desulfobulbales; Desulfobulbaceae. The record is from RNAcentral.